CACGUAGGGCGCAAGCGUUGUCCGGAAUUAUUGGGCGUAAAGAGCUCGUAGGUGGUUUGCUGCGUCCGCUGUGAAAACCCAAGGCUUAACCUUGGGCUUGCAGUGGAUACGGGCAGACUAGAGGUAGGUAGGGGAGAAUGGAAUUCCUGGUGUAGCGGUGAAAUGCGCAGAUAUCAGGAGGAACACCGGUGGCGAAAGCGGCUCACUGGACCAUAACUGACGCUGAUGCACGAAAGCUGGGGGAGCAAACAGG
RNAcentral lists this ribosomal RNA (253 nucleotides) under uncultured bacterium. RNAcentral describes it as "partial 16S ribosomal RNA". It matches the Rfam family "Bacterial small subunit ribosomal RNA", at positions 524 to 776 of the family's 1533-position model. The record is from RNAcentral.